Molecule: ribosomal RNA, 2900 nt
Filed under: Streptococcus pneumoniae
Lineage: Bacteria; Bacillati; Bacillota; Bacilli; Lactobacillales; Streptococcaceae
Description: 23S ribosomal RNA
Rfam family: Bacterial large subunit ribosomal RNA
Source: RNAcentral
UUAAGUUAAUAAGGGCGCACGGUGGAUGCCUUGGCACUAGGAGCCGACGAAGGACGUGACAAACGACGAUAUGCCUUGGGUAGCUGUAAGUAAGCGAUGAUCCAGGGAUUUCCGAAUGGGGGAACCCAACAGGUAGUACCUGUUACCCACGUCUGUUAAGGAUGUGAGGAGGAAGACGCAGUGAACUGAAACAUCUAAGUAGCUGCAGGAAGAGAAAGCAAAAGCGAUUGCCUUAGUAGCGGCGAGCGAAACGGCAGGAGGGCAAACCGAAGAGUUUACUCUUCGGGGUUGUAGGACUGCAAUGUGGACUCAAAGAUUAUAGAAGAAUGAUUUGGGAAGAUCAGCCAAAGAGAGUAAUAGCCUCGUAUUUAAAAUAGUCUUUGUACCUAGCAGUAUCCUGAGUACGGCGGGACACGUGAAAUCCCGUCGGAAUCUGGGAGGACCAUCUCCCAACCCUAAAUACUCCCUAGUGACCGAUAGUGAACCAGUACCGUGAGGGAAAGGUGAAAAGCACCCCGGGAGGGGAGUGAAAUAGAACCUGAAACCGUGUGCCUACAACAAGUUCGAGCCCGUUAAUGGGUGAGAGCGUGCCUUUUGUAGAAUGAACCGGCGAGUUACGUUAUGAUGCGAGGUUAAGUUGAAGAGACGGAGCCGUAGGGAAACCGAGUCUGAAUAGGGCGCCUUAGUAUCAUGACGUAGACCCGAAACCAUGUGACCUACCCAUGAGCAGGUUGAAGGUGCGGUAAGACGCACUGGAGGACCGAACCAGGGCACGUUGAAAAGUGCUUGGAUGACUUGUGGGUAGCGGAGAAAUUCCAAACGAACUUGGAGAUAGCUGGUUCUCUCCGAAAUAGCUUUAGGGCUAGCGUCGACAUUAGAGAUUCUUGGAGGUAGAGCACUGUUUGGGUGAGGGGUCCAUCCCGGAUUACCAAUCUCAGAUAAACUCCGAAUGCCAAUGAAUUAUGGUCGGCAGUCAGACUGCGAGUGCUAAGAUCCGUAGUCGAAAGGGAAACAGCCCAGACCACCAGCUAAGGUCCCAAAAUAAUUGUUAAGUGGAAAAGGAUGUGGGGUUGCACAGACAACUAGGAUGUUAGCUUAGAAGCAGCUAUUCAUUCAAAGAGUGCGUAAUAGCUCACUAGUCGAGUGACCCUGCGCCGAAAAUGUACCGGGGCUAAAACAAUUUACCGAAGCUGUGGAUACCUUUAUAGGUAUGGUAGGAGAGCGUUCUAUGUGUGAUGAAGGUAUACCGUGAGGAGUGCUGGAACGCAUAGAAGUGAGAAUGCCGGUAUGAGUAGCGAAAGACAGGUGAGAAUCCUGUCCACCGUAAGACUAAGGUUUCCAGGGGAAGGCUCGUCCGCCCUGGGUUAGUCGGGACCUAAGGAGAGACCGAAAGGUGUAUCCGAUGGACAACAGGUUGAUAUUCCUGUACUAGAGUAUGUAGUGAUGGAGGGACGCAGUAGGCUAACUAAAGCAGACGAUUGGAAGAGUCUGUCUAAGCAGUGAGGUGUGAAUUGAGUCAAAUGCUUAAUUCUAUAACAUUGAGCUGUGAUGGGGAGCGAAGUUUAGUAGCGAAGUUAGUGACGUCACACUGCCAAGAAAAGCUUCUAGCGUUUAAACAUACUCUACCCGUACCGCAAACCGACACAGGUAGUCGAGGCGAGUAGCCUCAGGUGAGCGAGAGAACUCUCGUUAAGGAACUCGGCAAAAUGACCCCGUAACUUCGGGAGAAGGGGUGCUGACUUAAAGUCAGCCGCAGUGAAUAGGCCCAAGCAACUGUUUAUCAAAAACACAGCUCUCUGCUAAAUCGUAAGAUGAUGUAUAGGGGGUGACGCCUGCCCGGUGCUGGAAGGUUAAGAGGAGUGCUUAGCGUAAGCGAAGGUAUGAAUUGAAGCCCCAGUAAACGGCGGCCGUAACUAUAACGGUCCUAAGGUAGCGAAAUUCCUUGUCGGGUAAGUUCCGACCCGCACGAAAGGCGUAAUGAUUUGGGCACUGUCUCAACGAGAGACUCGGUGAAAUUUUAGUACCUGUGAAGAUGCAGGUUACCCGCGACAGGACGGAAAGACCCCAUGGAGCUUUACUGCAGUUUGAUAUUGAGUGUCUGUACCACAUGUACAGGAUAGGUAGGAGUCUAAGAGAUCGGGACGCCAGUUUCGAAGGAGACGCUGUUGGGAUACUACCCUUGUGUUAUGGCCACUCUAACCCAGAUAGGUGAUCCCUAUCGGAGACAGUGUCUGACGGGCAGUUUGACUGGGGCGGUCGCCUCCUAAAAGGUAACGGAGGCGCCCAAAGGUUCCCUCAGAAUGGUUGGAAAUCAUUCGCAGAGUGUAAAGGUAUAAGGGAGCUUGACUGCGAGAGCUACAACUCGAGCAGGGACGAAAGUCGGGCUUAGUGAUCCGGUGGUUCCGUAUGGAAGGGCCAUCGCUCAACGGAUAAAAGCUACCCUGGGGAUAACAGGCUUAUCUCCCCCAAGAGUUCACAUCGACGGGGAGGUUUGGCACCUCGAUGUCGGCUCGUCGCAUCCUGGGGCUGUAGUCGGUCCCAAGGGUUGGGCUGUUCGCCCAUUAAAGCGGCACGCGAGCUGGGUUCAGAACGUCGUGAGACAGUUCGGUCCCUAUCCGUCGCGGGCGUAGGAAAUUUGAGAGGAUCUGCUCCUAGUACGAGAGGACCAGAGUGGACUUACCGCUGGUGUACCAGUUGUCUUGCCAAAGGCAUCGCUGGGUAGCUAUGUAGGGAAGGGAUAAACGCUGAAAGCAUCUAAGUGUGAAACCCACCUCAAGAUGAGAUUUCCCAUGAUUAUAUAUCAGUAAGAGCCCUGAGAGAUGAUCAGGUAGAUAGGUUAGAAGUGGAAGUGUGGCGACACAUGUAGCGGACUAAUACUAAUAGCUCGAGGACUUAUCCAA